GCAUCUGUAUCUUUCCCACUCCUUGCAAUAGUCCUGGACUGGGGACACAUGAUGCAACAGGAAGGCACAGGAAAUCCAGACGAGCUCCCUUUCACCACAGUGGGAGUUGUCUCUACGCCUUUGCAACAUUU
RNAcentral lists this small nucleolar RNA (131 nucleotides) under Bubo bubo (Eurasian eagle-owl). RNAcentral's name for it is "Small nucleolar RNA SNORA55 (ENSBOBG00000009965.1)". It matches the Rfam family "Small nucleolar RNA SNORA55". Rfam says of the family: ACA55 is a member of the H/ACA class of snoRNA that guide the sites of modification of uridines to pseudouridines. Lineage: Eukaryota; Metazoa; Chordata; Aves; Strigiformes; Strigidae. The record is from Rfam by way of RNAcentral.